AGUCGAGCGGAGAUGAGGUGCUUGCACCUUAUCUUAGCGGCGGACGGGUGAGUAAUGCUUAGGAAUCUGCCUAUUAGUGGGGGACAACAUUCCGAAAGGAAUGCUAAUACCGCAUACGUCCUACGGGAGAAAGCAGGGGAUCUUCGGACCUUGCGCUAAUAGAUGAGCCUAAGUCGGAUUAGCUAGUUGGUGGGGUAAAGGCCUACCAAGGCGACGAUCUGUAGCGGGUCUGAGAGGAUGAUCCGCCACACUGGGACUGAGACACGGCCCAGACUCCUACGGGAGGCGGCAGUGGGGAAUAUUGGACAAUGGGGGGAACCCUGAUCCAGCCAUGCCGCGUGUGUGAAGAAGGCCUUAUGGUUGUAAAGCACUUUAAGCGAGGAGGAGGCUACUGAGACUAAUACUCUUGGAUAGUGGACGUUACUCGCAGAAUAAGCACCGGCUAACUCUGUGCCAGCAGCCGCGGUAAUACAGAGGGUGCGAGCGUUAAUCGGAUUUACUGGGCGUAAAGCGUGCGUAGGCGGCUUUUUAAGUCGGAUGUGAAAUCCCCGAGCUUAACUUGGGAAUUGCAUUCGAUACCGGGAAGCUAGAGUAUGGGAGAGGAUGGUAGAAUUCC
Molecule: ribosomal RNA, 616 nt
Filed under: uncultured bacterium
Lineage: Bacteria
Description: bacterial SSU rRNA
Rfam family: Bacterial small subunit ribosomal RNA
Source: RNAcentral